GGCCCCGCGGACCGGGCCGGUUCCGGGCCGAUUCCGGUUCGGUCCGGUUCGGUUCCGGGCCGGACAGGGCGAC
Molecule: transfer RNA, 73 nt
Filed under: Streptomyces clavuligerus
Lineage: Bacteria; Bacillati; Actinomycetota; Actinomycetes; Kitasatosporales; Streptomycetaceae
Description: tRNA-Arg
Source: RNAcentral